GCCCGGGUGGCGAAAUGGGUAGACGCAAGGGAUUUAAAAUCCCUCGGCCUCAGGCCGUGCCGGUUCGAGUCCGGCUCCGGGCA
This 83-nucleotide transfer RNA is filed under the name Ectothiorhodospira marina. It matches the Rfam family "tRNA". Rfam says of the family: Transfer RNA (tRNA) molecules are approximately 80 nucleotides in length. Their secondary structure includes four short double-helical elements and three loops (D, anti-codon, and T loops). Further hydrogen bonds mediate the characteristic L-shaped molecular structure. tRNAs have two regions of fundamental functional importance: the anti-codon, which is responsible for specific mRNA codon recognition, and the 3' end, to which the tRNAs corresponding amino acid is attached (by aminoacyl-tRNA synthetases). tRNAs cope with the degeneracy of the genetic code in two manners: having more than one tRNA (with a specific anti-codon) for a particular amino acid; and 'wobble' base-pairing, i.e. permitting non-standard base-pairing at the 3rd anti-codon position. The record is from Rfam by way of RNAcentral. Lineage: Bacteria; Pseudomonadati; Pseudomonadota; Gammaproteobacteria; Chromatiales; Ectothiorhodospiraceae.